UACGUAGGGUGCAAGCGUUAAUCGGAAUUACUGGGCGUAAAGCGUGCGCAGGCGGUUCGCAAAGAGAGAUGUGAAAUCCCAGGGCUUAAGCUUGGAACUGCAUUUUUUACUGGCGAACUAGAGUAUGUCAGAGGGGGGUAGAAUUCCACGUGUAGCAGUGAAAUGCGUAGAGUUGUGGAGGCAUACCGAUGGCGAAGGCAGCCCCCUGGGAUAAUACUGACGCUCAGGCAUGAAAGCGUGGGGAGCAAACAGG
Molecule: ribosomal RNA, 253 nt
Filed under: uncultured bacterium
Lineage: Bacteria
Description: partial 16S ribosomal RNA
Rfam family: Bacterial small subunit ribosomal RNA
Source: RNAcentral